Molecule: transfer RNA, 64 nt
Filed under: uncultured Kineothrix sp.
Lineage: Bacteria; Bacillati; Bacillota; Clostridia; Lachnospirales; Lachnospiraceae
Rfam family: tRNA
About the family: Transfer RNA (tRNA) molecules are approximately 80 nucleotides in length. Their secondary structure includes four short double-helical elements and three loops (D, anti-codon, and T loops).
Source: RNAcentral
CCAUGGCUCAGUUGGUAGAGCGACGCAUUCGUAAUGCGUAGGUCAAGGGUUCGAGUCCCUUUGG